Molecule: ribosomal RNA, 259 nt
Filed under: uncultured Staphylococcus sp.
Lineage: Bacteria; Bacillati; Bacillota; Bacilli; Caryophanales; Staphylococcaceae
Description: partial 16S ribosomal RNA
Rfam family: Bacterial small subunit ribosomal RNA
Source: RNAcentral
CGGGUGAGUAACACGUGGAUAACCUACCUAUAAGACUGGGAUAACUUCGGGAAACCGGAGCUAAUACCGGAUAAUAUAUUGAACCGCAUGGCUCAAUAGUGAAAGACGGUUUUGCUGUCACUUAUAGAUGGAUCCGCGCCUCAUUAGCUAGUUGGUAAGGUAACGGCUUACCAAGGCAACGAUGCGUAGCCGACCUGAGAGGGUGAUCGGCCACACUGGAACUGAGACACGGUCCAGACUCCUACGGGAGGCAGCAGCG